AACGGAGGGAACAAGUGUUAUUCGUAUUGAUGGGUGUAAAACGCGCGUAGAUGGUAUUUCUAGUUUUAUGCUAAAUUUUUUCUUUUAAAAGUAAUCAAAGCAUAUUUAUACGGUUAUACUAGAGUUCUUAUAAUAUAACAGUAUUCAAAGUGUAAGGUGGCAUUUAAAAUAUUUUGGAGACUAGCAAUAGACGGAAGUGGUGUUAAGAGGAAAACUGACAUUGAGGCGCUAAAGCUUAGUAGCAAAUAGG
RNAcentral lists this ribosomal RNA (250 nucleotides) under uncultured bacterium. RNAcentral describes it as "partial 16S ribosomal RNA". It matches the Rfam family "Bacterial small subunit ribosomal RNA", at positions 524 to 776 of the family's 1533-position model. The record is from RNAcentral.